This 561-nucleotide non-coding RNA is filed under the name Homo sapiens (human). The record is from RNAcentral. Lineage: Eukaryota; Metazoa; Chordata; Mammalia; Primates; Hominidae.
GCACUACUGCAGUCUUCAGUUAAGCAACAAGUAGAAGCUAUUGAAAAACAGUACAUUUCUGCAAUUGAGAAACAGGCACACAAGUGUGAGGAGUUGCUAAAUGCUCAGCAUCAGAGGCUCCUUGAAAUGCUAGAUACAGAGAAGGAACUGUUAAAAGAAAAAAUAAAGGAAGCUUUGAUUCAGCAAUCUCAAGAACAGAAGGAAAUAUUGGAAAAGUGUUUGGAGGAAGAAAGGCAAAGAAAUAAAGAGGCAUUAGUAUCCGCUGCAAAGCUUGAAAAAGAAGCAGUGAAGGAUGCAGUUUUAAAAGUCGUAGAAGAAGAAAGAAAAAAUUUAGAAAAAGCGCAUGCUGAAGAAAGGGAAUUAUGGAAGACAGAACAUGCAAAAGAUCAAGAAAAAGUAUCUCAGGAAAUUCAAAAAGCUAUACAAGAACAAAGAAAAAUAAGUCAGGAAACUGUUAAGGCAGCAAUAAUAGAAGAGCAGAAACGAAGUGAAAAGGCUGUGGAAGAGGCAGUGAAAAGAACAAGAGAUGAAUUGAUAGAGUAUAUAAAAGAACAGAAAAGG